UCAAAUGACUCUCGGCAACGGAUAUCUCGGCUCUCGCAUCGAUGAAGAACGCAGCAAAAUGCGAUACUUGGUGUGAAUUGCAGAAUCCCGUGAAUCAUCGAGUUUUUGAACGCAAGUUGCGCCCGAAGCCUUUUGGCCGAGGGCACGUCUGCCUGGGCGU
RNAcentral lists this ribosomal RNA (160 nucleotides) under Pyrularia edulis. RNAcentral describes it as "5.8S ribosomal RNA". It matches the Rfam family "5.8S ribosomal RNA". Rfam says of the family: 5.8S ribosomal RNA (5.8S rRNA) is a component of the large subunit of the eukaryotic ribosome. It is transcribed by RNA polymerase I as part of the 45S precursor that also contains 18S and 28S rRNA. Functionally, it is thought that 5.8S rRNA may be involved in ribosome translocation. Lineage: Eukaryota; Viridiplantae; Streptophyta; Magnoliopsida; Santalales; Cervantesiaceae. RNAcentral also lists the same sequence under 2 other names. The record is from RNAcentral.